CCUUCGAUAGCUCAGUUGGUAGAGCGGUGGACUGUAGAGAAUGUUGUUGACAUAGCAUAGAAAUCCAUAGGUCGCUGGUUCAAAUCCGGCUCGAAGGA
RNAcentral lists this transfer RNA (98 nucleotides) under Musca domestica (house fly). It matches the Rfam family "tRNA". From Rfam's summary of the family: Transfer RNA (tRNA) molecules are approximately 80 nucleotides in length. Lineage: Eukaryota; Metazoa; Arthropoda; Insecta; Diptera; Muscidae. The record is from Rfam by way of RNAcentral.